This is a long non-coding RNA of Camelus dromedarius (Arabian camel), 748 nucleotides long. RefSeq lists it as uncharacterized. The record is from RefSeq and is a predicted model, not a curated record. The transcript has 3 exons. Lineage: Eukaryota; Metazoa; Chordata; Mammalia; Artiodactyla; Camelidae.
ACGCCCUUCCUGGGCCCCGGGGCCGUCCGCCAGGCGGUCAGGGGCCGGGGAGCCCUCGAAACGCCGCAGGGUCACCCGAGUUCGCGCGCCUGGCCAGUGAAGUGAGGCCGCCGCGCCCCGCUUCCCGGCCCGCGCCCGCUCCCGCUCCGCCCGGGACCCCGGACCUCACCUCGCGUCGCCACCGCAGACCCGAGGGCCGAGCCGCUGCUUCCGCCGGGGCCGCGGGGCGAGGCGGGUCCAGGGGCGGGGGCGGGACUCGGGGGCGGGGCUUAGGCGGCGGAGCCCGGCGCGGCCCGGAGGCCCAGGUCUGGUAGCCCUCGCCCACCCGACCCCCACGGCGGGACACCAGCCCCAGGGACCGGCCUGCCCUUCAUCCCUCCUCGGCCUGGCGCAGGGCCUUUUUCUGAGCCGUGCGCCGAGCCAAAGCUCCCAGGCCAGUCAGGGAGUUUCCCAGAGCACAGAAAUAAAAAUACCUGAGACACGCCAGACAGGAGAGGGUGGAAGUGACCAUCGGUUAUCUGCAGUGGCUGUGAUGAACUGGACGAGCCAGUAAGCAGCGGCAAAGACCAGCCUGAAGCCUCAACCAGCAAGCCUCCUGGGCCCUAAGGGACGAUGGCGCUGACCUCGUCCGACCCUCCUGACUCCGAUCGAAUAAAGCUGGGGCUCUGUGGGAAGACACUGCUUUGGGAAAGAACCCCCGUGUUCUCCUUACUUGCUGCAAGUAAUAAUAAAUCCUUCCUUCUCCCGA